Oryza glumipatula is the source of this 207-nucleotide non-coding RNA. NCBI's taxonomy places the organism in Eukaryota, Viridiplantae, Streptophyta, Magnoliopsida, Poales, Poaceae. The record is from Rfam.
AAAAAGACAAACUCUGGGUUUUCGUGUCCAACGUUUGACUGCCCGUCUUAUAAUAAUUUUUUUUAUAUUUAGUAUUUUCAUUGUUGUUAGAUGAUAAACAUGAUUAAUACUUUAUGCGUGACUUGUCUUUUUAAUUUUUUUUCAUAAUUUUUUCAAAUAAGACGGACGGUCAAACAUUGGACACAUAAACCCAGGGUUUGUCUUUUU